RNAcentral lists this unclassified non-coding RNA (340 nucleotides) under uncultured Chlorophyllum. Its description in RNAcentral is "sequence contains ITS1". The stretch from base 1 to 105 matches the Rfam family "5.8S ribosomal RNA", at positions 50 to 154 of the family's 154-position model. Lineage: Eukaryota; Fungi; Basidiomycota; Agaricomycetes; Agaricales; Agaricaceae. The record is from RNAcentral.
GAAAUGCGAUAAGUAAUGUGAAUUGCAGAAUUCAGUGAAUCAUCGAAUCUUUGAACGCAUCUUGCGCUCCUUGGUAUUCCGAGGAGCAUGCCUGUUUGAGUGUCAUGAUAUUCUCAAUUCCUUCAGCUCUUGCUGGAGUGACAUUGGAUUUGGAGGCUGUUGCAGGAAUCCCUCUGGAUACCGGCUCCUCUCAAUUGCAUUAGUGUGAAUGUCCACUUCAUGCUUGGUGUGAUAAUUAUCUGCAUCGUGCUUGAGUGAUACAGCUUCAUGCUUCAAACUGUCGCAAGACAUUUUCUUGACUUCUGACCUCAAAUCAGGUAGGACUACCCGCUGAACUUAA